GUGAAUCAUCAAAUCUUUGAACGCAAAUUGCGCUUUCUGGUAUUCCGGGGAGUAUGCCUGUUUGAGGGUCAGUAUUAAUAAAAAAUCGGGUUAGUUACAAAUUGUGACGUUUCCGGCGUUUGGGCUAUCGUAGCAUUUUUGGUUAAGAGGCUUAAAAUUGAGCUUGUUUGUGUAUUUUUAAACGUACAUAAAUUUUUUUUAUUUGUCUAUUUUUAAUGCUAAAUUCUUAUUAGAUGAUAUCACAUGGCGUG
Molecule: unclassified non-coding RNA, 251 nt
Filed under: Glomeraceae sp.
Lineage: Eukaryota; Fungi; Glomeromycota; Glomeromycetes; Glomerales; Glomeraceae
Description: partial contains 5.8S ribosomal RNA and internal transcribed spacer 2
Rfam family: 5.8S ribosomal RNA (bases 1-71)
Source: RNAcentral